This 417-nucleotide ribosomal RNA is filed under the name uncultured bacterium. RNAcentral's name for it is "bacterial SSU rRNA". It matches the Rfam family "Bacterial small subunit ribosomal RNA", at positions 398 to 809 of the family's 1533-position model. The record is from RNAcentral.
CGCGUGCAGGAUGAAGGCUUCGGGUUGUAAACUGCUUUUGUACGGAACGAAACGGUCCUUUCUAAUACAAGGGGCUAAUGACGGUACCGUAAGAAUAAGCACCGGCUAACUACGUGCCAGCAGCCGCGGUAAUACGUAGGGUGCAAGCGUUAAUCGGAAUUACUGGGGCGUAAAGCGUGCGCAGGCGGUUAUAUAAGACAGAUGUGAAAUCCCCGGGCUCAACCUGGGACCUGCAUUUGUGACUGUAUAGCUAGAGUACGGUAGAGGGGGAUGGAAUUCCGCGUGUAGCAGUGAAAUGCGUAGAUAUGCGGAGGAACACCGAUGGCGAAGGCAAUCCCCUGGACCUGUACUGACGCUCAUGCACGAAAGCGUGGGGACCAACAGGAUUAGAUACCCUGGUAUCCACGCCCUAAACGA